Numida meleagris (helmeted guineafowl) is the source of this 580-nucleotide long non-coding RNA. RefSeq lists it as uncharacterized. The record is from RefSeq and is a predicted model, not a curated record. The transcript is spliced from 3 exons. NCBI's taxonomy places the organism in Eukaryota, Metazoa, Chordata, Aves, Galliformes, Numididae.
UUAAAUGAGUGUGACUGGCCAGGUUUGGUUCCCAUCCCUAGCAAUGUGCCUCUGCUGUUAAGGCCAAAGUUAUCGUGGGCUACGUAUGACAGGUGCUAGACAGGAACUGCAGUGCUUCUCACCUUUGGCGUGUCAGUUGCUUGACUGUCUCAUCCCAGAUGAAGGUGUUCUUGCAAUGCCUAAAGGACCAGGCUGUUGCUUUCGGUCUGCACCAACCGAUUACAUUGCACCUCCCCUAAAAUUUUCAGUACAACACCACAGCUCAUGUGCCUGCUGCGAGCCAGUGUCGCAAGACGUGUUGCAUGAGGGUAACUGUGACUAUUGCAACAGCACCAGCGAGCACCUCAGCUUCUCCCACCGCAGCCAGCAGAGACAAGGAGCAGCAGCUCCAUCCUUAUGCACAUGGGUCACUUUCUGAUUGGCCAAGGGGAGAGGUGGCAGCCGGAAUAAGCCCAUAUCUCACCCAGUAUAAAACCAGGGGAUGUGGGGCAAUAAAAUAUUCCCUGAUCCUAACCCACCUGGAUGCACGCUGUUCUUGGUGGGGUUCUUACUGCCUUGCUGUACCCUGAAAAAACAUUGU